RNAcentral lists this ribosomal RNA (301 nucleotides) under uncultured bacterium. RNAcentral describes it as "partial 16S ribosomal RNA". It matches the Rfam family "Bacterial small subunit ribosomal RNA", at positions 509 to 808 of the family's 1533-position model. The record is from RNAcentral.
CAGUCGCCGCGGUAAUACGUAGGUGGCAAGCGUUGUCCGGAAUUAUUGGGCGUAAAGGGCUCGCAGGCGGUUUCUUAAGUCUGAUGUGAAAGCCCCCGGCUCAACCGGGGAGGGUCAUUGGAACCUGGGAAACUUGAGUGCGGAAGAGGAGAGUGGAAUUCCACGUGUAGCGGUGAAAUGCGUAGAGAUGUGGAGGAACACCAGUGGCGAAGGCGACUCUCUGGUCUGUAACUGACGCUGAGGAGCGAAAGCGUGGGGAGCGAACAGGAUUAGAUACCCCGUAGUCCCUGUCUCUUAUACA